AUGGGGCUGCUUAGUUCGUCAGGGUAUGUGAAAUUCCUCUGGACUAUAAUCAUUUUUCGGGAUCGGUCACUUGCUUGCAUCGUGGUGUAACUAUACUGAACCCACCUUUAACUAAAGGUUCUUUUGGUGAACUUUUCCAACGGCUAAAGUGGUCCUUCC
RNAcentral lists this non-coding RNA (159 nucleotides) under Rickettsiales bacterium. RNAcentral's name for it is "6S RNA". It matches the Rfam family "6S / SsrS RNA". Rfam says of the family: E. coli 6S RNA was the first non coding RNA to be sequenced, but its function was unknown until recently. It consists of 184 nucleotides that fold into an extended hairpin structure with a large single-stranded internal bulge. Lineage: Bacteria; Pseudomonadati; Pseudomonadota; Alphaproteobacteria; Rickettsiales. The record is from RNAcentral.